GACGAACGCUGGCGGCGUGCUUAACACAUGCAAGUCGAACGAUGAAGCUAGAGCUUGCUCUGGUGGAUUAGUGGCGAACGGGUGAGUAACACGUGAGUAACCUGCCCCGAACUCUGGGAUAACUGCUGGAAACGGUAGCUAAUACCGGAUAUGACCAAUGAAGGCAUCUUCUGUUGGUGGAAAGAAUUUCGGUUCGGGAUGGACUCGCGGCCUAUCAGCUUGUUGGUGAGGUAACGGCUCACCAAGGCGACGACGGGUAGCCGGCCUGAGAGGGUGAUCGGCCACACUGGGACUGAGACACGGCCCAGACUCCUACGGGAGGCAGCAGUGGGGAAUAUUGCACAAUGGGCGCAAGCCUGAUGCAGCAACGCCGCGUGAGGGACGACGGCCUUCGGGUUGUAAACUUCUUUUGUAGGGGACGAUUGUGACGGUACCCUACGAAUAAGGGCCUGCUAACUACGUGCCAGCCGCCGCAGUAA
RNAcentral lists this ribosomal RNA (479 nucleotides) under uncultured bacterium. RNAcentral describes it as "partial 16S ribosomal RNA". It matches the Rfam family "Bacterial small subunit ribosomal RNA", at positions 28 to 523 of the family's 1533-position model. The record is from RNAcentral.